GGGGUAACGCCUAUACUCUGAAAAUCUGGGCUGGAAAUACAGACCCUCCCUCCCCAUUGGAUUUAUCUUCUUCUUCACCUAUAUGAAGAUACCCGAACCUUAACAUACAAAAAAUAGAGAGACACUCUACGUGUGAGAGAUCCACCGCUGAAGUCCAGAUAGACCGGUCAUCGUCUCCUUCACACCUAUCUCUAUGUAGUUUCAUCAUCUAUACCACAAACGAACCCUCCUUCUGAACUUCUAGCUCGCUUCUUUCCAAACGAUCUCUCCAAUUUUCUGCCUCACCACCUAACAUCCACCAGCAACUCACUGGAAAGACGAGCUCCGAUUCUGCCUCACCAUCUGUUGGUUCGAAUUUUAUUUGAGGCGUCGUUGACUAUUCAGUUUCAGUUGAAGUUUCUCAAAGAGAUUCGAGCUUCAGAUUUCAUCUUUCAAUUCAGAUUUUUCUAAAAAAAGAGUGUGGUUUGAGGCUCAAUUUGGAUUUCCGAGCAGAUUCGAGGUCUCCGGAGGCGUCGAGGUACCGUUGUUUGUUUUCCGAUUCUAUUUUCGCGGAGUUCGUUUGAAGCUGUAUCGAUUUCUGACUGUAAUCAUCUCUUUGUUUCAAUCUGUGUAAUUGCUGCAUUCAAAUUAAUGGGAAAGCUAAUUUCAGGUUACUUCUAAUCUCAUUUAUUCUAUUUUGGAUACGAUGUUUGUGGUUGUAACUGUUGCACUCCUAUUUUAGGAUGAGUUUGAAUUUCAGGAGCUACUGAUGGGCGUUGAUUUAUUGACUUGGGACAUUUAAAUACAAAUAUUAUUUUUAUCUUAGUUUAGGCUCAAAAUAAUUGGACGAAUAAUUUGAUUGCUAAGCAGAUUAAGCAGCAAGCUUUCUCUUAUGCUAAUCCAAUAAAAAUAGCUAAACUUAUUCUAGUCAACUUCCUCACUUAAUGGAAGGAAAACUCAUAUGAGAGUCUAUGAGAUGAGCUUUCUCGUACAGGAGCUUAUGCCCAGCUGAUUUGCUUCAUUUUAUAUAUAUUUUAUA
RNAcentral lists this long non-coding RNA (1018 nucleotides) under Nicotiana benthamiana. RNAcentral describes it as "long non-coding RNA (NBEN_LNC016644)". Lineage: Eukaryota; Viridiplantae; Streptophyta; Magnoliopsida; Solanales; Solanaceae. The record is from RNAcentral.